GAUGAACGCUGGCGGCGUGCCUAAUACAUGCAAGUCGAGCGAACAGACGAGGAGCUUGCUCCUCUGACGUUAGCGGCGGACGGGUGAGUAACACGUGGAUAACCUACCUAUAAGACUGGGAUAACUUCGGGAAACCGGAGCUAAUACCGGAUAAUAUAUUGAACCGCAUGGUUCAAUAGUGAAAGACGGUUUUGCUGUCACUUAUAGAUGGAUCCGCGCCGCAUUAGCUAGUUGGUAAGGUAACGGCUUACCAAGGCAACGAUGCGUAGCCGACCUGGGAGGGUGAUCGGCCACACUGGAACUGAGACACGGUCCAGACUCCUACGGGAGGCAGCAGUAGGGAAUCUUCCGCAAUGGGCGAAAGCUUGACGGAGCAACGCCGCGUGAGUGAUGAAGGUCUUCGGAUCGUAAAACUCUGUUAUUAGGGAAGAACAAAUGUGUAAGUAACUAUGCACGUCUUGACGGUACCUAAUCAGAAAGCCACGGCUAACUACGUG
This 497-nucleotide ribosomal RNA is filed under the name uncultured bacterium. RNAcentral describes it as "partial 16S ribosomal RNA". It matches the Rfam family "Bacterial small subunit ribosomal RNA", at positions 28 to 507 of the family's 1533-position model. The record is from RNAcentral.